ACUCAAAGGAAUUGACGGGGACCCGCACAAGCAGCGGAGCAUGUUGUUUAAUUCGAAGCAACGCGAAGAACCUUACCAAAUCUUGACAUCCCUCUGCCGUGCACUGUAGUGGUGCAUUUCCCUUCGGGGACAGAGGAGACAGGUGGUGCAUGGUUGUCGUCAGCUCGUGUCGUGAGAUGUUGGGUUAAGUCCCGCAACGAGCGCAACCCCUAUUUCUAGUUGCCAUCAGGUAAAGCUGGGCACUCUAGAGAGACUGCCGGAGACAAUCCGGAGGAAGGUGGGGAUGAUGUCAAAUCAUCAUGCCCUUUAUGAUUUGGGCUACAAACGUGCUACAAUGGUCGGUACAACGGGCAGCGAACCGGUAACGGGGAGCCAAUCUCAAAAAGCCGAUCUCAGUUCGGAUUGAGGGCUGCAACUCGCCCUCAUGAAGUUGGAGUUGCUAGUAAUCGCGAAUCAGCAUGUCGCGGUGAAUGCGUUCCCGGGUCUUGUACACACCGCCCGU
Molecule: ribosomal RNA, 502 nt
Filed under: uncultured bacterium
Lineage: Bacteria
Description: bacterial SSU rRNA
Rfam family: Bacterial small subunit ribosomal RNA
Source: RNAcentral